AAAUCAUAAGAAAUAACAAGAAAGCGCAUCUCAGUCUACUUUUAAAGUGCAGCAGCUGCUUUCUAGCACUCCUGUGCAGUGUUUGAGGAUGGAAGGGGCUGCUGCAGGUCUGGCACAUCAUGUCAACUGUUUGCAGAGAGUCGCGAGGACAAAGGAAAACAAAAUAAUAAAUCAACACUCAGCAACAGUGAGAUCUGUGUCUGACCCUCUUUGAAGAUAUUUGUGGCAAACAUCUUUCAGUCCACUUGGAUGGCAAUGAGAAUCCACUGUCUGAAUGAAAGCUUGAUUCAUAUCCCAGUGUUUAAAAGUUCAUCUUUCUGAACUGGUGUUCU
This 332-nucleotide long non-coding RNA is filed under the name Anser brachyrhynchus (Pink-footed goose). Its description in RNAcentral is "lncRNA (ENSABRG00000021557.1)". The record is from RNAcentral. Lineage: Eukaryota; Metazoa; Chordata; Aves; Anseriformes; Anatidae.